AACGAACGCUGGCGGCAUGCCUAACACAUGCAAGUCGAACGAGACCUUCGGGUCUAGUGGCGCACGUGUGCGUAACGCGUGGGAACCUGCCCUUAGGUUCGGCAUAACUCCCCGAAAGGGGUGCUAAUACCGGAUAAUGUCUUCGGACCAAAGAUUUAUCGCCUUUGGAUGGGCCCGCGUUGGAUUAGCUAGUUGGUAGGGUAAAAGCCUACCAAGGCGACGAUCCAUAGCUGGUCUGCGAGGAUGAUCAGCCACACUGGGGCUGCGACACGGCCCAGACUCGGGAGGGGAGCAGCAGUAGGGAAAAUUAGACAAGGGGAAAAAGCCUGAUCCAGCAAUGCCGCGUGAGGAAUGAAGGCCUUAGGGUUGUAAGGCUCUUUUGCACGGGAUGAUAAUGACAGUACCGGGAGAAUAAGCUCCGGAUAACUCCGUG
Molecule: ribosomal RNA, 433 nt
Filed under: uncultured bacterium
Lineage: Bacteria
Description: partial 16S ribosomal RNA
Rfam family: Bacterial small subunit ribosomal RNA
Source: RNAcentral